Molecule: ribosomal RNA, 426 nt
Filed under: uncultured Pseudomonadota bacterium
Lineage: Bacteria; Pseudomonadati; Pseudomonadota
Description: bacterial SSU rRNA
Rfam family: Bacterial small subunit ribosomal RNA
Source: RNAcentral
GGGGAAUAUUGCACAAUGGGCGCAAGCCUGAUGCAGCCAAGCCGCGCGUAUGAAGAAGGCCUUCGGGUUGUAAAGUACUAUCAGCGGGGAGGAAGGUGUUGUGGUUAAUAACCGCAGCAAUUGACGUUACCCGCAGAAGAAGCCCCGGCUAACUCCGUGCCAGCAGCCGCGGUAAUACGGAGGGUGCAAGCGUUAAUCGGAAUUACUGGGCGUAAAGCGCACGUAGGCUGCUUUGUAAGUCAGGGGUGAAAUCCCACGGCUCAACCGUGGAACUGCCUUUGAGACUGCUUAGCUUGAAUCCGGGAGACGGUGGCGGAAUUCCAGGUGUAGGAGUGAAAUCCGUAGAUAUCUGGAGGAACAUCAGUGGCGAAGGCGGCCACCUGGACCGGUAUUGACGCUGAGGUGCGAAAGCGUGGGGAGCAAACA